GGGCCCGUGUGGAAAUGGAUAUCCGACUAGGCUUCGGACCUGGGGUUAAGGGUUCAAAUCCCUUCGGGCUCA
Molecule: transfer RNA, 72 nt
Filed under: Candidatus Aenigmatarchaeota archaeon
Lineage: Archaea; Nanobdellati; Candidatus Aenigmatarchaeota
Description: tRNA-Arg
Rfam family: tRNA
About the family: Transfer RNA (tRNA) molecules are approximately 80 nucleotides in length. Their secondary structure includes four short double-helical elements and three loops (D, anti-codon, and T loops).
Source: RNAcentral